GCGGGGGGCGUGCCUAUACAUGCAAGUCGAGCGCAUGAAAUUAUUUGAUUCUCUUCGGAGUUGACGAUAAUGGAAUGAGCGGCGGACGGGUGAGUAACACGUAGGCAACCUGCCUGUAAGACUGGGAUAACUCGUGGAAACGCGAGCUAAUACCGGAUAACACUUUUCAUCUCCUGAUGAGAAGUUGAAAGGCGGCUUUUGCUGUCACUUACAGAUGGGCCUGCGGCGCAUUAGCUAGUUGGUAAGGUAACGGCUUACCAAGGCGACGAUGCGUAGCCGACCUGAGAGGGUGAUCGGCCACACUGGGACUGAGACACGGCCCAGACUCCUACGGGAGGCAGCAGUAGGGAAUCUUCCGCAAUGGACGAAAGUCUGACGGAGCAACGCCGCGUGAGUGAUGAAGGUUUUCGGAUCGUAAAACUCUGUUGUUAGGGAAGAACAAGUACUAUAGUAACUGAUAGUACCUUGACGGUACCUAACCAGAAAGCCACGGCUAACUACGUGCCAGCAGCCGCGGUAAUACGUAGGUGGCAAGCGUUGUCCGGAAUUAUUGGGCGUAAAGCGCUCGCAGGCGGUUCUUUAAGUCUGAUGUGAAAUCUUACGGCUCAACCGUAAACGUGCAUUGGAAACUGGGGAACUUGAGUGCAGAAGAGGAGAGUGGAAUUCCACGUGUAGCGGUGAAAUGCGUAGAGAUGUGGAGGAACACCAGUGGCGAAGGCGACUCUCUGGUCUGUAACUGACGCUGAGGAGCGAAAGCGUGGGGAGCGAACAGGAUUAGAUACCCUGGUAGUCCACGCCGUAAACGAUGAGUGCUAGGUGUUAGGGGGUUUCCGCCCCUUAGUGCUGAAGUUAACGCAUUAAGCACUCCGCCUGGGGAGUACGGCCGCAAGGCUGAAACUC
Molecule: ribosomal RNA, 900 nt
Filed under: Oceanobacillus sp. JSM 102001
Lineage: Bacteria; Bacillati; Bacillota; Bacilli; Caryophanales; Bacillaceae
Description: bacterial SSU rRNA
Rfam family: Bacterial small subunit ribosomal RNA
Source: RNAcentral